Molecule: long non-coding RNA, 317 nt
Filed under: Salvia miltiorrhiza (redroot sage)
Lineage: Eukaryota; Viridiplantae; Streptophyta; Magnoliopsida; Lamiales; Lamiaceae
Description: long non-coding RNA (SMIL_LNC006624)
Source: RNAcentral
ACGACUGAAAUCGCAUCGAAAAGAGGCCGAGUUUAAGCAAAUUGGAGGUUUGUUUAACUUGCCAACUAAGAUUCUAUUGUGGCGUUACUAAAACGGAGUAUAAAAAGAUGCAACGAAACUCACAUACAUCUAUGCAUGUAGGCAGGCAUAUAUAUUCACAUUAAUAAAUUACCGUAGCAUAUAUCUACGAGUCUUACUCUUUCAUAUUGAUAUACUGAUCACCACUCCAUCACACCACUGCCACCAACAACAAUCUUCUUCACAUUCAUUACCAUUCCAAAUCAGCUUCACAUUUCGCAGGGACAUGCUCCCACUUC